This 1256-nucleotide long non-coding RNA is filed under the name Glycine max (soybean). RNAcentral's name for it is "long non-coding RNA (GMAX_LNC002966)". Lineage: Eukaryota; Viridiplantae; Streptophyta; Magnoliopsida; Fabales; Fabaceae. The record is from RNAcentral.
UUUUUAAUUUUUUUUAAGUUCUUCUACUUUAUCAUAUAUGCAACUCUUUCUAGAACUGUUGUAUAAGCAGAUGAAUUUGUUUCAAAUUCGUUAACCAUUUGAAGGUUUUACAGAUUCAUGCUCCGACAAAGUGUUACUGAAGUUCCUACAUAUGAAAAGUAAAACAUUUAGAUAUGUGCCCUUGUGUUUAUUUCAUAGUUUGAAUUUGAACUAUGACGGCUUCUAGGGUGGACCACUAUCACAGGUGUCCACCAUGCACUACUAUUAAUGACCCUUGGAUUAAUCUAUGGAGCGUCUUCUUAUCAUGCACUCUCUACACUAUAUUCCUUCUCCGUUCCUCUUCUUCUCCCCUCACCCUAUGAACCACCUUGGCUAAGAAUGGUUGCUGCGCUGCCGGAGUUACUAUACCAUGAAUCAAAAUCAAAGCAAACCCAGAUUCAAAAUCUAAAAAUUAAAUAGCAGAAUUUCCAUAUUAGUUCAUCAACAAAUUCCAAACAAUAAUUCAAGCAAUAAAAAAACAAAUAACCCAAACACAUUGUGAGUAAUGUACUGUGUAGGGACAUCAAUCCAACACCGAUUGUCCACCUGAUGCUCUCAUAAUUCAUGGUGCUGUGGAUUAGAAUACAUUAUUAGCUUGAAAACAUGGAGCUCAAAACAGAAGUUGGGGGAAAAACCAAACACAUGGUUCCUUGCAGCAAAGAACAAAUCAAACCAUGAAUCCACUUGACAUAUCAAAAGUUCCCAAAAUACAUAUACACAGAUCAAGAAAAUUGAAGAUUCCUAAUUCUUCAGUUAAACGAUACAAACAAACUAAAAAUAAUUAAAGUAAAUAAUAAGAGUUGUAGCAGCAAAGGCGGGGAUGAGGAUCUCUAUGAUCAGAUCUGGAAACGCGAGAGAACAUCAUGAGCACCACUUUGAUCGUUUGUAGUGGCCUUAACCGGAUCUAGACCGAGCACCACCAUUGUUUGUCCGGGCCUUGUGUGGAUGUGGAUCGAGCACCACCACCGUUUGCCAUGGCCUUGAGCGGAUCUAGACUGACUACCAACAUCAUUCACCCUAGGGUCAUUAAUAGUGGUUCACGGACCACCUAUAAAGGUAGUCCACCCUACAAUGCUGAGUUCAGAAAAUAUGUACUUUCAUUAAAUUAGCAUUGUCUGGUAGAGAGGCUGGAAAUAGAGGAGAAAUAUUUAAAUUAGAGUAGAGAGUGUGGGACUCAUAUGGGACCCACAGUAUUUCCCUUCUAUUUCUCUCCCCCC